This 28-nucleotide non-coding RNA is filed under the name Rattus norvegicus (Norway rat). Lineage: Eukaryota; Metazoa; Chordata; Mammalia; Rodentia; Muridae. The record is from RNAcentral.
UGUUCCCUGAACCUGACAUUUGAUGCCC